UCUGACGGCAGUAACGAAUUAGCGGCGGACUUCAUUCCCUCUGGUUUUUUUUAUGCUUGAGCGCCCGCAUCAAGGUUCUGAACGGAUAGGCUCUCAAUUCAGCCCAACUCUUGCGAUGAACAAAUAAUGUAGGGCCUCCCCUGAUGAGUAACCCAUUUUCAAAAUCAGCACUUCGAAACAGCCACAACUUUCGGACGAUAAGCCCCUCCUAUAAACAGCCUAUAACCCUCAUGUACUUCAAACUUGCAAGAUCCGCCUUCAGCCUAUACUCCAGUCCGGCGUAUGCGGAAAACAUGCAGCCUUAUGAUCGUCGGCAUAUAUAAGCGGUCUGUGUAAGUAACUCCAAUACUGUAGUCACCACACACAUAUAUGCAAAUUUGCACAAGACGAAGAAGAAUACGAAAAUGGAAAGUACAACGGAGGUAGUUAAGCACCCUCAGGGCAUAUAUCUAAUAGUUUUUCUAACUAUAACUAUCAAUUCUUCCAACGGAACAUCUUCUGUGUAACAAGGCCACUGGAUGGUGCAGCUCAACGCAAGAAAGCAUUCGCAUUGCUUCCCAAAAGCGCACCUUAUAUUGCCAUAACCCCAACAUGUCCAACAUCACUCACUCUCCCAUAAAGGAGCCAUUCAUGUCAUCUACAUACCGUCCCUCAUCCUCCCAUCGCCCAUCUCGAUCAAAGAUCGGUCGAAACCCUGCAGUCGCUCAAACAAACAGCCGCUCAAAAAAGCUUUGCCAUCGUUUCGAUUUGCAUUCCAAACUCACGUCGUCUUCUACCUGCCUAAGGGUACAGGUAGAGAGAAAGGUAGCUAGUAUGGAAGCCCCAAGGAAGAGUUGAAGGAGGAAGUUGCUAGGUAGCUUGGGGAGAAGAUUAGGGACCGAGAAGAAUGGGAUGAGUUAGAAAGAAUGGAUCGAGGAGGAAAGAGAUGUUCGAGUCGAAGAAGGCAAAUGAAGGAACUAAAAGCUGGAUGAAGAGGUCGUCUGGAAAGUAAAACCACACAAAGCAUGUGUUCGUUGUUCAACAGAUAUAGAAGAGUGAUACAAGGAUCAUAGCAUGCUUGAUAUAUUUCUGUC
This 1073-nucleotide small RNA is filed under the name Cryptococcus neoformans H99. RNAcentral describes it as "Cryptococcus neoformans var. grubii H99 hypothetical RNA". Lineage: Eukaryota; Fungi; Basidiomycota; Tremellomycetes; Tremellales; Cryptococcaceae. The record is from RNAcentral.